UACGUAUGGAGCAAGCGUUAUCCGGAUUUACUGGGUGUAAAGGGAGCGCAGGCGGCUUUGCAAGUCUGAUGUGAAAGGCCGGGGCUCAACCCCGGGACUGCAUUGGAAACUGUAAAGCUAGAGUGCCGGAGAGGCAAGCGGAAUUCCUAGUGUAGCGGUGAAAUGCGUAGAUAUUAGGAGGAACACCAGUGGCGAAGGCGGCUUACUGGACUGUAACUGACGUUGAGGCUCGAAAGCGUGGGGAGCAAACAGG
Molecule: ribosomal RNA, 253 nt
Filed under: uncultured bacterium
Lineage: Bacteria
Description: partial 16S ribosomal RNA
Rfam family: Bacterial small subunit ribosomal RNA
Source: RNAcentral